UCCAGCCCUCAAGAGUUUCCCAGCUGAGCCUCUGGGCAUCCUGAGUUGGGACCGAGGUGGCCGGUGCAGCUGGAGGCGGGGGUGGGGCUAGCCUACAUAGCCGCUUAAGCCCGGACUGCUGGGGCAAAGCGAUUAGUGGUGUGUUGUGUGUGUGUGCGUGCAUGCGUGUGUGUGCGUGUGUGCGUGUGCGUGUGUGUGUGUGUGUGUGUGUGUGUGUAGGUGGGUGAGACUGAGCUCACAGCUCUUAGUGGCUGCAGGUUUCUCAACUGCCCUGAGAAGAGCCAAAAAUUUGCCCGUGGCGUUUCCAUCCCUUUCCUUGUGAGAUUCACUCCCCGUUGCUGACCUGGAUCGCGCAUUUACUCCAGGAUGCUGGGCUCCUAAAUUGCUUCUCUUCCUAAGGGUGCCUCGGCUCUAAUGGUGGAAUUUCUGUCCGCGUGGGGGUGGGGUGGGGAUAGUUUGGGAUGUAGGGAGCUUCCUGGCGCUGCCUUGGUGACAUGGACAAAUUGAGAUUUCUGACCUUGUGUUUGACAAAUGAGUCACCUGUAAUCACACUUAUUCUCCCUUGCAUAAACCGAAGCAAGAGGAAAAGCUUCCAGCUGCACCACCUGUGCCCGGAGGCUCUUCAGAGGGUUAAUUCUAAUAAGAGCAGUGAGUGUGAAGUCAGGGGAUGAAAUGUUCCAGAACUGGUGAGUAAAUUCAGUUUCCUACAACACACAGACCUAAAGAAAGAAAGUUCUCAGUGUGAAUAUGACGGCUGUGGCUGACGGUCAACAGCCCCUCCUAGUGUGUACCAGGCAGCCUGUAAGCCCUUCCCAGGUAGGCCUCCAGAAUCCUCAGCUACUGGUGCCCAUUUUUCAGAUGAAGAAACUAAGGCACAGGGAGAGCCAAGUGCGUGGAGCAGAAAUUUGAACCCUGGCUGUCUGGUGCCUUUGCUGUGUCCCCAGCCGCUGUGUCAUGCAUUGUAGGACAUUCAUGGAGGGUGGUCACAGCAUGGCUGAACUGUGCCCCCCCCCUUUUUUUUUUUUUUUUUAAGACUUUAUUUAUUUACUUGGCAGAGAGAGAGAGAGAGAGAGAGAGAGAGCACAAGCAGGGGGAGCUGUAGAGGGAGAGGAGAAGCAAGCUCUUCUCUAAGCAGGGAGCCUGAUUGUUGCCAGGCUCGAUCCCAGGACCUGGGAUCAUGACCCAAGAGGAAGGCAGAUACCCAACCGACUGAGCCCCCCAGGCGCCCCAAAAGUACCCCCCUUGCAGGAGAACUGCAAACCUUAGUUUCACCAGGGAGCUUCUUGCCAACUCUUCCAUUUCAUGUGGCCAAGACGGAGGAGGAGAAGCUCAGAGGAGAGUUUUACCCCACCUGGCUAGUGUUCUGUUGUUUGCUCUUUGCAAUUUGUAAAUAUUCUGGGGUCCCCUUUGUCUCUACAACAGGCAUGCUGUCCAGAUCGGUGCCCUGCAGGCUUCGCGGCCCUUGUGUGAAGAGCUCUAGCUGCAGUGAUCUGCUCGGAGCGCCCCGGACGCCGUGCUGCGGGGUCUGCUGCGGGUCAUGGCCAAGGCUGAUCCACAGUGUCUGGGAGCUGGGAUUUGAACACUGGUCUUUGGGGCAUCAUGGCUGCCCGAGACAGAGUCCUUCUCGAACAUGGUGCCGGCCUCAGCCAGCUCUCAGCCACUUCCCCUCCAGCUGCCCUUCUUCCAAAACAGUUUGGGGAAGACACGGCUGACUGACCCCACACCCAAUGCCGUGGCCUGGAGGUGCACCCACAGACUGUACCCCACAGUGCCUCACAUCAGUCUGGGCACAACAGGACCUCAGCACCUCAGUGUCCUGCUCCAGAACCGUGGAACUGAAGACCCACAGAGCAGCCUUGCACCCUGCCGUGACACCUUGGGCUACAUCACGGCACAGGUGAACCACCAAUCCUAGACCCUCGUGUUCCAGGCACAUAGUAGGUCCUCCAUCAUGUCUUGCCAAGUGGAUGAAGGAGCCAGGCCUCCCCAUCUGGCCCAAUGACAAGCUAGCUCGUUCAGCAGCUCAUGGCUCCCAUCCAAGCAUCUGCUUCUCUUGAUUUCACUGGAGCAGACAACCCAUCGCUCAGCCACAGGUUGGUGGGGACAGGUGCCUGAUGGUGGGGAGAUGGUCCUGGGCUUUGAGGAUUGGACACAGCCCCCGAGUUGAUGAAGAAGCGAUUUCGCACGGAGGCCUCUUUCUGGUGUUGUCAGAAGGGAAGAUGCCACGCUUGGCACUCUCCUGAGCUGGAAUGCUGUCAGAACCAACCGCCCAGACCCCGCUUUGGUUGCAUUUCACGCCGGAAGACAUUCCUUCUUGUUCGGCAGCAGCUCUUGGAUGUGGCUUUUAAUAUGCUCGCUGCCGGGUCAUCGAUUUCUCCCGACAAGCGGUGGAAAGAGUCGUCAGGGGCUGGGACAGUCGGGCUGUUGGGGAAUCAAGAAAUUUGCCCCACAGUCAGUCUUGCAAAAACCCUGAUAUCUUUUUAUCAGAUGUGAACAUUUGAUGGAGCCCGAUUAUUCUAGAUGCUGACUGUACAGACAAGUCAUGUUUCUUAGAAUCAAAGGAAUGGUUUUCGUUGGCGUUAUUGGGUCACAGAGAAAGACUGUGAAUCUUGGCCCUCAUUACAAGCAAAAAACAAACAACUUGCUGUACACCUUCAUUCAAGAGCGAGCGUGGCUCAGGUUGGAAAAGCAGACUUUUGUUCAGCCCAUCUCUUUUGACAGCUGGCUAAAAAAACGUCCACUCAGUGGCCUUGGCUUGAUUGCACUUGUAAUAUUCUCAAUUUCUCUCGGCACUGAAUGAAAAUCUGGAAGCACAUUGUUGCCUGCCAGCUGCUCACUGUGAAUCAGCUCUGAGCACUGGCAUUCCCAAGCAAGUGCCUCCAUCCACGUAGCUCUGCCCUUCCUAGCAGCCUACAUGGCAACGGAGAGUCGGUCCUCACCUCAGUGCCCCUUCCAGUCCACGUCGUGGCUCGCAAAUAAUGAACUUAACCAAGGAACGAGGAGGACAGAGGACUCCUCUGCAGCACCAGUGUUAAGGGAUGGACAGGACCAGAAACAUCAUGGAGGAUGUCUCCCUCAUAUACGUACAGAUCAGGCUGUGGCUGUUUGGAAAAAAUCCAACCACAGAUGUUUUAAUAAAUAAAGAUGCAUUCCUGAGAAUAUAGAUCUGUUAUUUAAAAAAAAGCCUGAAUAACAGAGAUUUAAAUAAGAUAGAUGUUUAUAUCUCUCAGAUAUGACAGUCUGGGCAUGGUGUGACCAGUACUGAUUGGUUGCAGUUUUUCAUUGAAUUACCUGCCUUCCUCUAUCUGCAGUUGGCUCCGCUGGCUGGUUUCAGAAGGCUGCUCCAGCUCCUGCCAUUGCAGCCACUGUCCAGCCUGUGGGAAGGGCAGAAAAACAAAGGAGAGGUAUGUACUUUUCCUUUCGAGGGCUCGAAUAGGAAAUAGCACACCUCAUCUCUGUUCACAUUUCACUGGCUAGAAUCCAGUCAUAUGGCCACACCCAUCUGCAGAGUAAGCUGGGAAAUGUAGUCUUUAUCUGGGCAGUUAUGUAUUCAGCAAAAUUUCCAUAUAUCUAUAUCUAUAUGGAAUAUAUAUACAUAUAAAUAUAUACGUAUAUUUAUUUAUUUUAGAGAGAGGGUGUGUGGGAGUUACAUGUGAGAAGUAGUGGGGAGGGAUAGGGAGGCACAGAGGCAGAGGGAGAGAAUCUCAAGCAGCCUCCAUGCCUGUCGCAGAGCCCAACAUGGGGCUUGAUCUCAUGAUCCUGAGAUCAUGACCUGAACCAAAAUCAAGAGUCGGACACUCCACUGACUGAGACACUCAGGUGCUCCCACAUUUCUAUUUCUGCAGAAGAAAAAGAGAGUAGAUAUUAGGGGACAACCAGAGGUUUCUUUAUUCACCUAAUGAAUAGGGAUGAUAAAGCAGAGAACAAGACAAUGAACAUCCUGUUUCUCAUGGACUUGACCCUCGAAUGGGAGGACAGCGAGAGGAGAAGUCUUUUGAGGAGGAGGGAGUGGUCCGCUGCGUCCACUGUGGCUGUUUUCCUCCCCCAACAAGAAGCCCGGAGGUGGGACAAGGUGACUAUCACAGCUGGCUCCAGCGUUAUGUCCGUGUUCCAGGCGAGGAGACGGUGGAAGAAAGGCCCACCAUGCAUCGGACUUCUUUAAAAGGAAAAAAAAAACUUCCUUGGAAGCCCACCAGCGGCUUUCUGCUUCGAUCUCAUUGGUCAGAAGAGGCUUGCCUGGCCACCCCUAGCUGCAAGGGAGGCUGGGAAAUCAGGAUCAGAAUUCUCAGGAUGGGCUGAGCACUGGACGUAUUGCCCCUGGUUCAGCUAAGAGAAAGAACGAGACGUCUCUACGAGGCAAGCGCCUAUGAAUAAUGCCUCUGUGCUUUUGGUCCCUUCUCUGCCUUUAGGGAUGGACGUCAUCAAUUUUGUGCUGGAAAGCUUUAUUUCGUGCUUGUUCUAGAAACACGCCAAUGGUUCCCCAGAGCGAUGGCUUGAUUGUUUUAUGGGGGGAAAGAUGGGCAAACUUCAGAGGCUCCUCGCCACCACCGGCCAUGCCGACAUGAGAGACCCCAUGCUGGCCAUAGGCAUGAUGUGGUUUCAGUUCCAGUUAUUUCGGUUGUACAUUCUAUUUUUACUUUUUCCUCUUCCCCUUGUGCAAAAUCCUACCUUUCCAACCCAGCACAUUUCAUAGGCACAUCAAAAUCUGAGCCAUGGUGGAUGGUUAUGCCUUAUUGGGGAAUAUAGAAUUUUCAUUAAUAGUUUCAUCCCUACUUGAUUGGUCCGACAAACCAUUUUUGUCUUACCAAUCCAUUUUUGUUAUCCGGGGUGGUACGCCAAUAGCAAAUGCGUUCAAGGGCUUCUUACGCCCCGAGCGCUAUUUUGAGGGCUUUGUAUAUAUUGUGAUGGUUUGAAAACAUGCUCCCAGUUUGGGGGGACACUUUUAUUACGAAGUGGCAUCUAUGUCCUUCCCCUUUAAUCUGGGCUGGUGUUAGCGACUCACUUGUCAGCAGUGGAAAGCAGGGGAAGGGAUGACUUGUGAUUGCCAAGGCCAGGUAGGAAAAGGCUGUGUAGCUUCUGCCUGGUUCUCCCGGGACACUUGUUCUGGAGGAAGCCCAGUUCCCUGACGCUGCCAUGAUAUAGGUAAGCAGUUUGGUCACCAGCUUUAGCACUGCCAACCUAGGACAGACACCGGGCGCCAGCUGUGUGAGUGAGCCAUCCUGGACAUGCUGCAUAGUCCCCCUGGGCCAUCAGAUGACAGCCGUCCCAGAAUGCAUCUGACGGCACCCCCACGAGAACCCCAAGCACAAGGUGCUCAGCUGAGCCCUUCCCGGAUUCCUGACCCAUAAAACUAUGAGCAGAAUCAAAUGGUUGUUGGGUUUUUUCCCCACCACUCGAAUUUUUAAGCCAGAAAAGGAACCGAAGACAUAGAACUAAUUUAGUCUCAAAUUUUCAGGUAAAGACACGGAACCCCAGAGAGAGAAAGCAAGUUGCACACGUUUUCACGGCAGAGGGAAGAGACGUGUGCUGGCAGGCUGAUUCAAAUAUUCUGCCUCUUGACCAUAAGGGAAUGGGGAAGCAAAGUUAACAAACGAGUAGUAACAUACAAAAUGCAAAAAUGUGGGCUGGCCAGGCUAACAGCACUCUGUUGAGGGAAAGUGGGUCUCUUUGGACCCGCCAUCCCGGAUGGAUGGACUUUGGAAAACACAUAGCCCUUUUAAGAACCCAGUGAUUUCUACAAGAUCGUCAUUAAUUUCCCAUUUCAAAUUUGCACAAUGUAAGUGGAUGAAAUUCUUCCACUUGUUCUUUUGUCCUCUAAAAACUCCACGCCGCCUAGGGACGUCAGGGUUUUGAGACUGCAUGAGGGAAACCCUGACCCCUUGCCUUGUAGCAUCUCAGGUGUGGGAGCUGAGAAGCUUCCCGACAAAAAAACAUUAAAGUCAUAAAAUUAAAGGAUGCAAUUUAACUGUUGGAAGCACCUUGGAGUUCAUCUCCUUCAGCCUUCCACUCGGGGCAAGACCAGGACAAGCCACGUGCAAAGCAACCGCUCAAUGGGAUGGUCCCACUGAUGCCAGUGGGCAGUUGGUGAUGAAUGGCUGGGGACCCAUAGAGAAAAUAUGGCCAUCAUAUCACAGGGUCCGGCUCAUCACUGAGGGCUGAGAAUUGGGUCAGUUUCAUGGGCAUGUGACCCAUGCGGUCACUCUUGCCUUGAAGGAUCCCAUACUUUAAUGUCCUGUCUCACUGCUUGAAAUCAUUUUUGAAAGAGGGGUUCCACAUUUUCACUUGUCACUGGAGCCUGCAAAGUGUGAAACUGGUCCAGGAUGGAGAGGUCUGACAGCUGGCGCAGGAAUGAGCAUUUCAGGGGAGAAGGGCAGGGAAAGCCUGGGAGCCAGAGGCAAGGGGUCACUUGCCCAAGACCACUUUUCAGGCAGUGACAACACAAGAAACUGAACCCAGUCUUGUUGGAUUUCAUGGCACUUGGUCUUAAACACUUUGCUCUCCUAUUGCCUGGGACAGACCUCUCUCGCGAGCUGCCUUCUCAACUAUUCCUACAAUCUCAGCCUUCUCUUCCAGGGAGCCCUCCUGGAUUGCUCUUGCCUAGUCAGACUUGCCAUUCCCUCCUUCCGUCAUACUUCCUACCUGGCUAAGCCACGGUCCUUGUGCCAGUCUGUGUCCUUUCCAUGCCCCUCCUGGCUAGAGUCUGCUGUGACUUCCAGGCCCCCAGGCCAAUCUGGAUAGGGCCUCGAACCCGCAAGAAUUUGGGGGCUCAAUCUUUUUGCUGUAAACCUUACAUGUAGAUUCCACGGUGCAGUCUUUCUCACCUUCCCAUCCCCAGAGCUGGGCUCCUGCCUCAGUUUCCCUGUCUAAAACUCCAAGGAACUGUGGGAUAAUGGGAGUCAGACAGGCCUGGUUCAUAUUCUGUCUUGCUACUCACUCUAAAGAAAGCAGCUCAGCCUCUGCAAACCUCAGUUUCCCCAUCUGUCAAGUGGGAGUAUAUCCUACCUUACCCAAGUGCUCAAGGUUGGCAACAUCAGUGACGUGGACAUCACGUACCCACUGAUAUACAGGGAUGACAAGGGCAUCGCAGCUCUGCAGCAUCUCCCCGUCGCACGACCCAUGAUGUGAGAAAACAUCAGACAAGCCCCAAGGGACAGGGUAUAGAAUCCCCGACCGGUACCCUUCAAAACUGCCAAGGUCAUGAAAAGCAAGAGAAAAAAUGAGAACCUGUCACAGAGCAGAGAAGACUAAGGGGGUGGCAUGACUGAACGCAAUGUGGUCUCGGGGCAGGAUGCUGGAGCAGAAAGAGGACAUUAGUGGACACACGCGCGAACCUAAGUGAAGUCCGGAGUUUAGUUCUGAACGUACCAGCGCUAGUUUCCUAGUCUUGACAAACAGACUGUGGUUACGUUAGCAUCACGAGAAGCUGGGUGAAGCACACACAGCCCAAUUCUCCUGGGUUACCUUGGCCUUUUUUCUCGAAACCUAAAUUUAUUCCAAAAUAAAGGUGUUGGUUAAAAACAAACACAACCGGCCCUGCUGUUACUGCUUUUGUCUGCCCAGGGCCGUCCUCCAUUCUUCUG
Molecule: long non-coding RNA, 7580 nt
Organism: Mustela lutreola (European mink)
Lineage: Eukaryota; Metazoa; Chordata; Mammalia; Carnivora; Mustelidae
Exons: 3
Source: RefSeq, a predicted model, not a curated record